GAUUAUGGCUCAGGAUGAACGCUAGCGACAGGCUUAACACAUGCAAGUCGAGGGGCAGCACAGGUAGCAAUACCGGGUGGCGACCGGCGCACGGGUGAGUAACGCGUAUGCAACUUACCUAUCAGAGGGGGAUAACCCGGCGAAAGUCGGACUAAUACCGCAUGAAGCAGGGGCCCCGCAUGGGGAUAUUUGCUAAAGAUUCAUCGCUGAUAGAUAGGCAUGCGUUCCAUUAGG
RNAcentral lists this ribosomal RNA (234 nucleotides) under uncultured bacterium. RNAcentral's name for it is "partial 16S ribosomal RNA". It matches the Rfam family "Bacterial small subunit ribosomal RNA", at positions 15 to 245 of the family's 1533-position model. The record is from RNAcentral.